GACAGAGGGUGCAAACGUUGUUCGGAAUUACUGGGCGUAAAGCGCGUGUAGGCGGCCCUGCAAGUCGGAUGUGAAAUCCCACGGCUCAACCGUGGAAGUGCAUUCGAAACUGCAGGGCUAGAGUCCUGGAGAGGAGGUGGAAUGCUUGGUGUAGAGGUGAAAUUCGUAGAUAUCAAGCGGAACACCGGUGGCGAAGGCGGCCUUCUGGACAGUGACUGACGCUGAGACGCGAAAGCGUGGGGAGCAAACAGG
RNAcentral lists this ribosomal RNA (252 nucleotides) under uncultured bacterium. RNAcentral's name for it is "partial 16S ribosomal RNA". It matches the Rfam family "Bacterial small subunit ribosomal RNA", at positions 524 to 776 of the family's 1533-position model. The record is from RNAcentral.